GAUGAACGCUAGCGGCAGGCCUAAUACAUGCAAGUCGAACGAUAGAAGAGAGCUUGCUCUCUUUGAAAGUGGCGCACGGGUGCGUAACGCGUAUGCAACCUACCUUAAUCAGGGGGAUAGCCCGAAGAAAUUCGGAUUAACACCGCAUAAAAUCACAGUACAGCAUUGUACAAUGAUCAAAUAUUUAUAGGAUUAAGAUGGGCAUGCGUUACAUUAGCUAGUUGGCGGGGUAACGGCCCACCAAGGCGACGAUGUCUAGGGGAUCUGAGAGGAUGACCCCCCACACUGGUACUGAGACACGGACCAGACGCCUACGGGAGGCAGCAGUAAGGAAUAUUGGUCAAUGGAGGGAACUCUGAACCAGCCAUGCCGCGCGCAGGAAGACAGCCCUCUGGGUCGUAAACUGCUUUUAUUCGGGAAUAAACCUACUUACGUGUAAGUAGCUGAAUGUACCGAAGGAAUAAGGAUCGGCUAACUCCGUGCCAGCAGCCGCCGUAA
RNAcentral lists this ribosomal RNA (498 nucleotides) under uncultured bacterium. RNAcentral describes it as "partial 16S ribosomal RNA". It matches the Rfam family "Bacterial small subunit ribosomal RNA", at positions 28 to 523 of the family's 1533-position model. The record is from RNAcentral.